CAGCGCCACGAGUGGGGACCCUGUUUAUUUGGCCUAAAGCGUCCGUAGCUGGUUUAGUAAAUCUCUUGUGAAAUCGUUGGGCUUAACCCAGCGGCGUGCAGGAGAGACUGCUAAACUAGGGACUGGGAGGAGUAAGAGGUAUGCUGGGGGGAGCGGUAAAAUGCUAUAAUCCUCAGUAGACCACCUAUGGCGAAGGCAUCUUACUAGAACAGGUCCGACAGUGAGGGACGAAAGCCAGGGGAGCAAACCGGAUUAGAUACCCCAGUAGUCC
Molecule: ribosomal RNA, 271 nt
Filed under: uncultured archaeon
Lineage: Archaea
Description: partial 16S ribosomal RNA
Rfam family: Archaeal small subunit ribosomal RNA
Source: RNAcentral